Malaclemys terrapin pileata is the source of this 2996-nucleotide long non-coding RNA. RefSeq lists it as uncharacterized. The record is from RefSeq and is a predicted model, not a curated record. The transcript is spliced from 4 exons. Lineage: Eukaryota; Metazoa; Chordata; Testudines; Emydidae.
CCAAGCACCUGCUUGCUUUGCUAGAGCCGCCCCUGCUAGCUAGGUCACUGAACUUGGACUCAGGAGACCUAGGUGCUGUCCAGCUGGUUGAAUUUAAGCAAGUCACUUCAACUUUCUGUGCCUCUGUUUUUCCAUCUGUAAAAUAAGAUUGGCCCAAUGAAGAUAUUACCUCGCCCACCGGGUCUCUCUGCUACCAUUCAAGAAAGAAAUUUUUGAGUCAUUGAGGAUAGUUCUCUGAAAGGCAGUUUCUCUUUCAGACCCUGAAAGCCCUCUCUUCUGUGUGUGGUCGGUGAACACGUCCAAGGGAAUGAAUGCAGUGCAACUGAAUUGAAUGAACAUCAUUAAUGUGACAAAUGAGACAAGGGGGCCAUGUUAAAUACAAGACAAUCAAAGCUCUCUGCUGCGUUCUGGGACCUGGUAAGAAGGAGAAACUUACUGGGCAAAUACCUGAUCUCAGAAGGAGUCUUGCAAUGGAGAGAUCAAGAAUCUAAAGGAGAAGGAGGUGAACAGCACAAAACAAUGAAGGUGAAGCAGAAAGGAAGGCCAAAAAGAUGUCAUCAUACAGACCCUGAUCCUCAUAUCUGGCUUAGUCUCCAAGCCCAGUCUAAUCAGUAGUGAAAUGAACUUCUGGGUAUAUGAUUGGUAGUAGAGCUGUGCCAGAAAAUUCUCAAAAGUUAGUAAGGAAAAAUUGUUUUCUACUCUUGGUGCUCCAAUAAUCUAAAAUUGGGUUCACUCCAACAUCUUUGCUUAAUCAGGGAGCUCCAUAGUCAUCCCUUGAGAACCAGAAUAUUUAGGGCAGUAGAUCAGAUUUCAGUAACAUCUAAAUUGAUUGAUUGUCAGUCACUGAAAUCAAAAUGUGGUGCUUCAUAGGCUCAGUACUUGUCCCUUCUUAGGCCCUGGCAUUACAAUACUUAUUUACGGUAUGAAUAGAAGUGGCUUUUGGGGGGCCAUUCCCUUCAUAUGGAGAGCAGGAUAUCUAGAAGCUAUCUCCUGCCAGUUCUCCUUCCUGGCUUUCCACAGUAAUAAAACAGUUUGUGGUCUGGUUCCAAGUUUUAUCCUGAAGACUAAUUCCAACUUCCAAAGGAAUCUGGACAUUAAUCUCCCUUCCUUUUCACAUUGGAUAGCUUCAGAUAGAGAAAAAGCUUUUGCAUUUUGGGAUUUUUUAGGGCCCUAAAGGUUUACCUACACAGAGUUGAGGAAAUCAAGAUCUCAAAUGCCUUGUUUAUACUACAUUAUGGCCUCAAAAAAGAUCAGUCCACUUCCUGAUUGGCUAUUGCUAAUUAAAUUUGUGUAUGAGGGAAGCAUAUUUAACAGAGGGACUCACACAUCCCAGUUCACUCUGUGAUGGGUUAGAUCACAGAAACCGCCUUGGGAAUUGCCAACUGCUGUGCUGAGACUACCUCUGAGCCCAUUUUCCCUGGCAGCUUGGGACUUCAGUGCCCUGCCUGGUUUGAGCCAGACACGCUUGCCUGCUACAAACACAGACCUAGGUCUGAACCACUUCCCCUCAAAACUGCAGGUUUGACUGAAAACAGCUUAAGAAGUGUUCCUGUCUCCAACACUCAGAUGCCCAGCUCCCAAUGGGGUCCAAACUCCAAAUAAAUCCGUUUUACCCUGUAGAAAGCUUAUACAGGAUAAACUCAUAAAUUGUUCGCCCUCUAUACCAUUGACAGAGAGAUAUGCACAGAUGUUUGCCCCCCCCAGGCAUUAAUACAUACUCUGGGUUUAUUAAUAAGUAAAAAGUGAUUUUACUAAAUGCAAAAAGUAGGAUUUAAGUGGUUCCAAGUAAUAACAGACAGAACAAAGUGAAUUAUGAAGCAAAAUAAAAUAAAACAUGCAAGUCUAAUCCUAAUACAGUAACAAAAUCUCACCCUCAGAGAUGUUCCAAUAAGCUUCUUUUACAGACCAGCCUCCUUCUAGUCUGGGUCCAGCAAUCAUUCACAUCCCUGCAGUUACUGUCCUUUGUUCCAGUUUCUUUCAGGUAUCCUUUGGGGUGGAGAGGCUAUCUCUUGAGCCAGCUGAAUACAAAAUGGAGGGGUCUCCCAAGGGCUAAAUAGACUUUCUCUUGUGGGUGGAGACCCCCUCCUCUCUUCUAUGCAGAAUCUAGCCGCAAGCUGGAGUUUUGGAGUCACAUGAGCAAGUCACAUGUCCAUGCACGACUCAGAACUUUACAGGUGGCAACCAUUGUUCACAUGCUACCUUGAAUGUCCCCAGGUAGACUUCUUAUGUGGAUUGGAGUCUUCCAAGGUUCCAUUGUCCAUUAAGUGUUUCUUGUUUGGGCACUUAACUUGCAAAAUCCUUUCUUAAGAAGCUGACCAAAUGCCUUACUAAGCCUACUUGAAAUCAAACAAGUACACAGCCAAUAUUCAUAACUUUGAAUACAACAAUGACACAUGCAUACAAAUAGGAUGAAUAUAUUCUUCAGAUCAUAACCUUUAUAGAGAUACGUUACAUGGCAUAUGUAGCAUAAAACAUAUUGCAGUUAUGUCAUAUAUACAUUCAUAAGCAUAUUUCCAUAAAGCAUUAUGGGGUGCAACUUCACACACACCCUUUCAUAACACAAGAUCCUUCUGGACAGAGAGAGAAAUUGCUUCAAUAUAGGCAAUCUGUGGAGUGACCUCUUGGCUCUCCAUAGAUAUCUUCCAGUGCCUUUAUUGUACGGAAGUCAGAGCUUCCUCCAAUGCAGUUUUUAAACGUGGAUUUCUGAGUGCUGUAGUCCAGUGAUACUCCAGCUGGUUCCCCAUAUAGGUGCCAACUCCAUGAAAAAAAUAGUAGGUGCUGAGCACCCACUGGCAGCCCCCCAAUCAGUUUCUCCCCUCCCCCCAACGCCUCCCAUUCGCCAGCAGCCCUACUGAUCAGCUCCACCUUCUCCAUCACAGCACCUCCUGCCCACCAUGGAUCAGCAGUUCAGCAGUGUGCAGGAGGCACUGGGGGGGAGGAGCGAGAGCGGGGCACACUCGGCGGACAGGACGGAAUGGGUUGGGGUUGGGCAGGAA